This 230-nucleotide long non-coding RNA is filed under the name Lathyrus oleraceus (garden pea). RNAcentral describes it as "Pisum sativum (pea) long non-coding RNA (PSAT_LNC009876)". The record is from RNAcentral. Lineage: Eukaryota; Viridiplantae; Streptophyta; Magnoliopsida; Fabales; Fabaceae.
AGAUUACAGCUCUGAGGUGGCUUUGAUGGAAUGGGGAGAAAAAGUAGGCUGUAAAUUAGGGACCUUUUUGCAGCAAAUUCCACUUAGUUAAAAUGUAACUAUUUAGUUUAGUUUUUUUUAAGGACAAAAUGUGUGUUUGGAUUAUUUGGGACUUAUUGAAUUAAAUUUUAAUUAUGUAAUUACCUUUUAAUCUUUCAAAAUUUAACUCAAUAUUUAUUUAUGCUAAUCAA